Non-coding RNA from Dipodomys ordii (Ord's kangaroo rat), 65 nucleotides. NCBI's taxonomy places the organism in Eukaryota, Metazoa, Chordata, Mammalia, Rodentia, Heteromyidae. The record is from Rfam.
GGUGGCUCAGUGGUAGGGUGCUUGCCUUGAAUGCAGGAAGCCCUGGGUUCGAUUCCUCAGCACCA